CUCCCUUCAGUUAGUCGUUUGACACAAAUUCAUCACACAUUCGUCGUGUGUUUCCGAGCACGUAUGUCUUUCUUUAGAGCCUGUGAUAUGACCUUGCAGGUCCGUUUGGCUUGCUUCACACGGGAGUCAAGAUUUCCUAGGCGAUUCCACCAAAGGAUCAAGAAACUGGAGGAACAACCCUCUCAGCUUUGGGUGUAUUCCCAAAUGAAACCUUCCACUGCUUCUCCACAGGCCAUGCCGUCUGCUUCCUACUUAGGACUUUCAAUCUUGCUGAUAUUGAGAGGGAUCAAUGGAGACUCAGUGACCCAGACAGAAGGUUCUGUUACCCUCUUUGAGGGGACACCUUUGACCCUGAAUUGCACUUACCAGAGUAGCUACACAGUUUUUGUUUUCUGGUAUGUCCAGCACCAAAACAAAGCUCCUCAAUUGCUCCUGAAAAGCUUAUCAGAAAACCAGAGGGCAGAGCAUCACGGUUUUCACGCCAGUCUUGUUAAGAGUGACAGCUCCUUCCACCUGCAGAAACGCUCUGUGAGAAUGUCAGACUCGGCUGUGUACUACUGCGUCCUAGGAGGCACAGUGAGAUCGCCUGCAGGGGGAGCCGAGCACAAACCCAGAGGGGGGCAGGAGGGCCCUGGAUGUGAGCAGCCUGGGAGGGGAGAAUGAUGAUUUUUCUCUAGUUAGAGUCUUGUGCUGGGCGCGGCCCCCAGGGAACAGAUACCUGAUGCCUCCGCCCUCAGGCACCCCGAGUUUUACUUCGAGCUAGGAAUGGAAGGAGGCAAUGUAGGUGAAAACUUAGAUUAUCAUUAUGCCUAUACAUAGAAUCCUAUAGUCAAUGGCCUUUUGUGUCUGGUUUCUUUCACACAGCAUCACCUUUUCAAGGUGUAUCCAUGUAUCAGUACUUUAGUACUUCUGUGGCUGCGCAAUAAUCCAUUGUAUGGAUACCCUAUAUUUUCUUUGUCCAUUCAUCAGUUGAUGGGCAUUUUGGUUGUUUCCACUUUUUGUGAAAACACUCAUGUACAGGAGCUCUGCUCUUUCAAACUUGAAUAUAUUUUAAGUUAGAGAUUUCUGGGUAUUUUUUCGUUUUGUUUUUUGCUUUAUUUGGGACUAACGUUUCUUUGUGGAUAUGCAAUUGAAUA
This is a non-coding RNA of Lynx canadensis (Canada lynx), 1136 nucleotides long. The record is from the annotation of a RefSeq genome assembly. Lineage: Eukaryota; Metazoa; Chordata; Mammalia; Carnivora; Felidae.